RNAcentral lists this ribosomal RNA (232 nucleotides) under uncultured Pseudomonas sp. Its description in RNAcentral is "partial 16S ribosomal RNA". It matches the Rfam family "Bacterial small subunit ribosomal RNA", at positions 1152 to 1382 of the family's 1533-position model. Lineage: Bacteria; Pseudomonadati; Pseudomonadota; Gammaproteobacteria; Pseudomonadales; Pseudomonadaceae. The record is from RNAcentral.
CCGGUGACAAACCGGAGGAAGGUGGGGAUGACGUCAAGUCAUCAUGGCCCUUACGGCCUGGGCUACACACGUGCUACAAUGGUCGGUACAAAGGGUUGCCAAGCCGCGAGGUGGAGCUAAUCCCAUAAAACCGAUCGUAGUCCGGAUCGCAGUCUGCAACUCGACUGCGUGAAGUCGGAAUCGCUAGUAAUCGUGAAUCAGAAUGUCACGGUGAAUACCGUUCCCGGGCCUU